CAUGUUGUAACUGCUGUCACUGCAAUCAGUUGGUGGUUCAGCCUUGAAACGUGCACUUGGCCUUCUAUAAAGCGCUGUUUUGUUUGCCUUUCAUUGCUAUGAGUCUUGAUAAAUUGGAGAAGAGCCCAAGAGAAAUUUUUCAUCCCUUGAUAUAAAAGGGAUCGGUGAAUUUUAACUUUGGAGUCCUCUAUGCUAAGGAUGCUCAGCUUACAGAUGAUGAAAUGUUCAGUAAUGGGAAAGACUCUCAUAUCCUCGUCGUCGGGCUCGGUGCUGUCCAAGAAGAUACAGAGACUAAAAAAAUCAUAAGAAGCAAAAUAUGACUGCAGGGAAAAGAAGCUGGAGAGAACAGAAGAAAUGGAAUUGGGACGACGCCUCGGCCAGCCCCUCUCUGCCAUCGUCUCCUGAAUCUGCAGCAGAGCAGUUCCAGUCCAUCCGGGCACGUGCAAUCCAGUUUCUGAUGAUCUGAGCACACGGAGCAGCGCUCAGCUGCUGUGGGGGGCUCAGGGAAGGCAGAGUGUGCAUUGUCAUCUUCCUGAACCUACAGACAAAUCAAAGUGAGAAGCCACAGGGUGGAAAUCAGUUGCAUAUAUGCUAAACAAAACUUGCAGGUUGUUUUUAAGAAUUGUUUUUGCUUGUUCUUUGUUGUGCUUCUGUGCUUAGAAAACCUCCCUUUAAAAUCAGUUCAGUUCAUCAGUUGAACCUUUGUUUGCAGACCCUCAGUGAGCAGAAUUUGUUGCAGACUCAGUGCACGCUGUGCCGGCCUCCCGGGAGUGUGAGGAGCUCAUGUGUGCUACUUUUUGCUUUAGGACGCUCUGAGGUAUUUAUUCCUUUUGGGAUACGUGAUGAGAAUUCCCAAGAGAGGUAGUUAUAAGGUAUGACAUUGGGAAAAAGCCUGUGUGGUUGGAAUGUUGUUGCUGUCAAAAGUUAAUUUUUCCUUCAUUCUUAGCCAGUAGUUAGCUUUUUGCUUUAUUUUUGUGGUAUCAGUAUUUUAUUGUUUAAAAAAUUCCUUCAAAAUAACUUCAGUGGUUGCCCACCAGUAUCUUGUUCAGAUUUGCCUAUUUGCUUGUAGCUGAAAUGUUCACAUCUUGUUUAUCAUUCUGUUUAAGAAACUGCUGCCCAGCCAACUAAUAACUGAAUAUCCAUCUGUCUGGGACACGGGGAGAGGAUUUAGGUAAUGUCUUUGUUUCCAGAAAAAAGUUCCAGUGAAGUUUCUAAAUAGAGGAGAAGGGGGUGAAGACUCAGGGCUCUGAUGCCGUUGGGGCACCCCAAGGUCCCCAGGAGAGGGAGCGGUGCAGGAGCAGGUGUGUUCUCAUCUAAUAUUGAACAAAUUAUAAAUAUAAAUAUGAAAAUUAUAAACAUGAAAAUAUUUUUAAAAUACUUAAAUAAAGCGGGUUUUCUUUAUUGGUCAAUAGGCAGGGUUUUGAUUGUAAAAUGUAUAAAUACAAAUAAUAUAAAAGUAGAAAUCUAAGUUUAGAAA
This is a long non-coding RNA of Melospiza georgiana, 1477 nucleotides long. RefSeq lists it as uncharacterized. NCBI's taxonomy places the organism in Eukaryota, Metazoa, Chordata, Aves, Passeriformes, Passerellidae. The transcript is spliced from 4 exons. The record is from RefSeq and is a predicted model, not a curated record.